UCGAGAAUUUUUCACAAUGGGCGCAAGCCUGAUGGAGCGACGCCGCGUGGGGGAUGAAGGUUUUCGGAUUGUAAACUCCUUUUACAGGGGACGAACACCCGCAAGGGUUUGACAGUACUCUGUGAAUAAGCCACGGCUAACUACGUGCCAGCAGCCGCGGUAAUACGUAGGUGGCGAGCGUUACUCGGAAUUACUAGGCGUAGAGCGCGUGUAGGCGGGAGCUUAAGUCUGUCGUGAAAGCUCAGGGCUCAACCCUGAAAUGUCGACAGAAACUGGGCUUCUUGAGUGCGGUAGAGGAGAUCGGAAUUCCAGGUGUAGCGGUGAAAUGCGUAGAUAUCUGGAAGAACGCCAAAGGCGAAGGCAGAUCUCUGGGCCGUUACUGACGCUGAGACGCGAAAGCUAGGGGAGCAAACAGG
This 416-nucleotide ribosomal RNA is filed under the name uncultured bacterium. RNAcentral describes it as "bacterial SSU rRNA". It matches the Rfam family "Bacterial small subunit ribosomal RNA", at positions 355 to 776 of the family's 1533-position model. The record is from RNAcentral.